UACGUAGGGUGCAAGCGUUAAUCGGAAUUACUGGGCGUAAAGCGUGCGCAGGCGGUUUGGUAAGACAGAUGUGAAAUCCCCGGGCUUAACCUGGGAACUGCAUUGGUGACUGGCGGGCUAGAGUAUGGCAGAGGGGGGUAGAAUUCCACGUGUAGCAGUGAAAUGCGUAGAGAUGUGGAGGAAUACCGAUGGCGAAGGCAGCCCCCUGGGCCAAUACUGACGCUCAUGCACGAAAGCGUGGGGAGCAAACAGG
Molecule: ribosomal RNA, 253 nt
Filed under: uncultured bacterium
Lineage: Bacteria
Description: partial 16S ribosomal RNA
Rfam family: Bacterial small subunit ribosomal RNA
Source: RNAcentral